CUUCUUGGAUGAGUUGCGAACGGGUGAGUAACGCGUAGGUAACCUGCCUUGUAGCGGGGGAUAACUAUUGGAAACGAUAGCUAAUACCGCAUAACAAUGGGUGACUCAUGUCAUUUAUUUGAAAGGGGCAAAUGCUCCACUACAAGAUGGACCUGCGUUGUAUUAGCUAGUAGGUGAGGUAACGGCUCACCUAGGCGACGAUACAUAGCCGACCUGAGAGGGUGAUCGGCCACACUGGGACUGAGACACGGCCCAGACUCCUACGGGAGGCAGCAGUAGGGAAUCUUCGGCAAUGGGGGCAACCCUGACCGAGCAACGCCGCGUGAGUGAAGAAGGUUUUCGGAUCGUAAAGCUCUGUUGUAAGUCAAGAACGAGUGUGAGAGUGGAAAGUUCACACUGUGACGGUAGCUUACCAGAAAGGGACGGCUAACUACGUGCCAGCAGCCGCGGUAAUACGUAGGUCCCGAGCGUUGUCCGGAUUUAUUGGGCGUAAAGCGAGCGCAGGCGGUUUGAUAAGUCUGAAGUUAAAGGCUGUGGCUCAACCAUAGUUCGCUUUGGAAACUGUCAAACUUGAGUGCAGAAGGGGAGAGUGGAAUUCCAUGUGUAGCGGUGAAAUGCGUAGAUAUAUGGAGGAACACCGGUGGCGAAAGCGGCUCUCUGGUCUGUAACUGACGCUGAGGCUCGAAAGCGUGGGGAGCGAACAGGAUUAGAUACCCUGGUAGUCCACGCCGUAAACGAUGAGUGCUAGGUGUUGGAUCCUUUCCGGGAUUCAGUGCCGCAGCUAACGCAUUAAGCACUCCGCCUGGGGAGUACGACCGCAAGGUUGAAACUCAAAGGAAUUGACGGGGGCCCGCACAAGCGGUGGAGCAUGUGGUUUAAUUCGAAGCAACGCGAAGAACCUUACCAGGUCUUGACAUCCCGAUGCUAUUUCUAGAGAUAGAAAGUUACUUCGGUACAUCGGUGACAGGUGGUGCAUGGUUGUCGUCAGCUCGUGUCGUGAGAUGUUGGGUUAAGUCCCGCAACGAGCGCAACCCCUAUUGUUAGUUGCCAUCAUUCAGUUGGGCACUCUAGCGAGACUGCCGGUAAUAAACCGGAGGAAGGUGGGGAUGACGUCAAAUCAUCAUGCCCCUUAUGACCUGGGCUACACACGUGCUACAAUGGUUGGUACAACGAGUUGCGAGUCGGUGACGGCAAGCUAAUCUCUUAAAGCCAAUCUCAGUUCGGAUUGUAGGCUGCAACU
RNAcentral lists this ribosomal RNA (1240 nucleotides) under Streptococcus salivarius. RNAcentral describes it as "bacterial SSU rRNA". It matches the Rfam family "Bacterial small subunit ribosomal RNA", at positions 83 to 1312 of the family's 1533-position model. The record is from RNAcentral. Lineage: Bacteria; Bacillati; Bacillota; Bacilli; Lactobacillales; Streptococcaceae.